AGCAAGGACGCCCCGCGCCUGGCCGCCGCUCGCCCGGCCGCCUGGUCCUCACUGACCUCCCAGGCCGCGCCCGCGCGAAGCGCCGCCUCCGCCGGGAGAGGACGACGACAGUGCCAUGGAGCUCCUUCCCCACAACCACGCAGUGGUAGAGGAGCUCCGUCUCCGUCAUCGCAUCUGGACGCCGACCCGGCAACAGCCACAACCUUGGAGUUCUCCUCGAGCGCCUCAAACACUAGCCCACCUCCACCCAUGGUGACCCCCUCUCUUUCACCUCCACCCAUGGCAACCCUGCUGCGGAAGAUCUCAAGUCUCCUCCCCAACAACAAAACAGGAACAUGAGCCUCCUCUCGACCAGGAUAUGAAUACCUCCUCCCUUUCUCUUCUCCCUUGUUGUUCUCGCUAUCUGAUUUGUGCGGUCUGUGCAGUUGCCAAGCUCUUCCGGUUGCUUGUGUGAAGGGGUUUAAUUUGGUUCCCCCUGUUUUCUACUACCAAGGAAGGUGACGACCUCUCCCCCCUCUGUUCAAGUUAUUCAUUAGAGAAUAAAUCUGGGAGCAGAAUCAUGUGUUGUUAGGGUUGAGGAGCUCGCUUACUGUCGGGAUGGGUCCCCUCGGCCUCCACCAUGAGGUACAAGCGAUGGAGAUGGGUGGGCAUCAUGCAAGGCAUGGAUGGCUGUUGCUUGCUCUCGGUUUGGAGAAGAGAGAUAAAGAGAGGAAGAAAUUGCCGUGAUGUAGACUGCUUUGCUACUUUUAUUGAAGUGCAGGCUAUGGCUUAAGAGAGGAAGUAACGGGGAAUCAUUCAGAGUGAAAUAUUGCUGCUUUGGGCUGCUGCUGCUGUUUGUUCAGUACUGCUAUAUGUUACUGAUGUGUGAUAGAUGUUGAGAUUAGAGACUGUGAGCUAUAGUUCAUUUCUCCCUUCUUUUCUUUACACUGCAGUUGCUCUUUUUAUUUGUUGAGAUUAGAGACUGUGAGCUAUAGUUCAUUUCUCCCUUCUUUCAGCUGUAAAGAAGUCUAGAGAGAGUUGUUGCUGAAUAAAAUCAGAGAAUAAUUGUGCUCGGUUCACAUGUGUGGCAGUAUCAAGAUUUUCUCUUUGAAACAAAUUGCCAAAUGCUAGGAUCAAAAUUUCUUGGGAAAGUUCUUGUCGAGAACUCAAUUGACGUGUUCCUUUUGUUUCAAGAAACUCGAUAUAGACAUUAUUAUUUAUUGGUAGUAACCCGUGUGUGUGUAUCUUUAUAUUUCUGUUGCUAGAUCUAAAUUUGGACAUACAUAGAUAGCUUCAGAUUUAGCCUAAAUGUUUUUUACUACCCAUAUAACCACUGUUGUGAAACCUUGUGCCUAGAUCAAUUAGAGCCUAAUGUACACUAAGAAGGCUUGGGUCUUCCUGUGCGUGCUGCUGCGCUGCUAGGUUUCUUGCCAUCUAUGAAGUUAGUAUUCAUUAGUCUUGGGUGAAUUCAUGUAUGGAUGGUCAGUUUUUGUACCUACAAAUUAGAGAUCAAAUUCAAGUCAUGCAUGCAAAAUGGUAAUUAAUAUUUCAUUACAAUCACUACUAUGCAUGAAAUUAUUUUCCCAUCUUGUGGGUGCCAGCGUCAUUGCUAUCAUAUGAUUUUAUAUGAACCUCUGUGUCUUUCUUCCACAUUUCUGCUUCAGUCACACGAAGACAGUUUAUCCAACAGAUAAUGUUCAAGUAUGUGCUGCUUGCAAAUAACCUUGCUUCACCAGAAGGUAAUUUUUGAUGGAGUAGGAGCAGUUAGCAGUCAGCAGUCAAGCUCAUAAAAUGGACGUAGAUGCUAACAGGAAAUGAAAUGACUGCCCGUACCAUCUUUGUGUGUACGAUUACUGUAUUUCAGUGGUAUUGAUCUAGAUGCCCAUACCAUCUUCUUGGCCUCAAGCACCACCACCUACAGGAUCCUGGUGAGCGAGGAGCAGCCGCGGUUGAUCCUGCACCAUCGCAGCACGUGCGUAGUCGUCGUUCACCAUCGGCACCACCAUAUGAUGUGCAGGUACGGCAAACAACCCCAUCUCCCUCUUAAUCCUUUUUUCUACCCUCACAUGGAUAUGCAGAGGUAAAGGAGCAGAAUCAAUUUAUUCAUGGUGUUACUGUCUGUUUAGACAUUUGUGUAUUAGUGUUUCACUGAAAUUCACACUCCUUGAUUCAAUGCCGGGAGCUGCCGCCCCCGCUGGGGACAUGGACAUACGCAAGGCGGACGCUGGCGAACGAUAUCGUACGUGCGCGCCUCCACGCUGCCGCACCGUGGGCACACAGAGGAACGGCCAUAUCAGUUGUACGGAUGCUUCGAACUAUAAGUUGUACUCAAUUUUUCUGUAUCCAAACUGAAUUGUUCAUUAAGCAGCUCGCCUGUCUCGUGGACUAACGAUUUUGCAUGAGCAUUCGUUCUCUGUACUGACGUGUGUUUGCUUAAUUUAGUGUGGUUCAUUAAUCGGUAGAUGCAAAAUUCAGCAAAGUAUACUUUGUGUAGGAGUUAGUGAGGUAGGGUGACUUGGGCAGGCCCAAUUCAGUAAUGUAGCAUACAUCUCUCAGCAUGCAUGUGUUACUUGGGAUUUAUACUAGAUUGUGCAGUAGAAGGAUUGGAUUAUUUCAUAGGCUUAUUUGAGGAUACGAUUUAGGCUCUGUUUGUAUCACACCCAGUCUUCUCACUACGGUGAUGCCGGACCUCGAGUCGCAUGUCCACACGUCACCGACAAAUGAACCCGCAAAAGAAUCUAGGCCUACCGAUUGGGAUGACAACGAUGAGGAGGAAUUGAUAGUGUGACAUGGUAUGGUCACGCCUGUAAGGGCAUGAGUGUGUGUCUACAAUUUUCUGCUGUAUAUUAUGAAAACCACAAUGUGUUUUGCAAUUACAGUAUUUGUGGUGGUACUUGGUGAUCUGGUCAUCAAUAUGUUAGUUCAUGUUCUACCACAUGCCCUCUUGACUGGCACUGUCAGCGGCAGCAGGCAAAUAUUCACACACGGCAUCAUAGAUGAGGCCUGCUCGUUGCUAUAUGCAAAUGUGGUCGCCGACACCCGGGCAGGCUCAACGUAUAACAUGCAUACACAUGCUCUUUUGUUUAUACUAGGCAUAUUGAAUUCUGUGAAACACACACAUUCCUCCCAAGUCAUAUAUAGGUUAAUGCCCAAUUCUUUAUUUUAUUUAUAGAAAACUGUAUUUUUUUCUAGAGAUUUGAUAUUUCCUGACCAUGAAUUUGGUUUCAAAUGCUCCUGGUGAAGCUUGAAUGUUGUUGAAGUGUAGUAAGACUCACUCUCACACUCAGAUUUAUUCACCACUAAAUUUCUAUAAAGGGGCUUGCCAAUCCACCUUAUACAAUGUACAAAAAAUAGUGUUUCAAGAAAGCAUGACAACUGAAAUGCAUUCCCCCCUACAUUUUAUCCUUUGGGCAGGGGAACUUUGUCAAACAUGGCAUGAUGAUGAAAAUGUCUUAUUAGAAAAUGAAAUUAUAAUGAGAAGAUAUGUUCUAAUUUGCUCUAGCUUUGGAAUUAUUGAAUAUGAUGUGAUAAGAGUUGUGUUUUUUAAUUAGUAUGAAUUAUAUAGCAGGCUAGCUAAAUUAUGCCCUUUUAUUCACUGAUUAUCUAUGCAAACUGAAGAUACCCUCAUGUACUACAUUGGUCUUUUCCAUAUGCUUGUUGUGCACACAUGUCAUUAGCUUCUCCUUUAUUAUUUUGUUUCUUCAGUUUACUGGAAAUAGAAGUAUCAAACUUCUAUGCGUGUGGCACCUUCGAUCUUCAGUUCAUUGGUCUUUCAUGUGCUGGUGAUUGAGGCGAAUCGUCUUGAGGUGAAAGUCGUAAAUUAUCGUUUUGAGUUUUUGCUUUCUUUAAGGUGUUUUUGUCUCCACGGAUGAUAUAAUCAUGUGUUUGCUAUUUUACCUCGAUGCAUUCAUUCAUCUGGAAGGAAGUUUCACCAGUUGCAAUUAAUUCAUUCUCCAUGAGAGGGCUGGUGUAGCAUGCGAGAUUUAUGUACUGGUUUGAGAUUUCAGAGUUGGUCUGUGCAUUGGAGUGUAACUGCAGCUGGAGUGACCAUACGCAGAUGCACGCUGUUGUUUAAGACCUUGAAACAAUGGCCUGGCAAGUCCUUCUCCUGAUAUCAGCUUCUGUGGCUUGAGUAAGUGUCAACGGCAUCCCUAGGCCUAGCAGACAAACACCCAAGAGUAAUCAAUUGUGGCAGAUUUUUGCGUAAUGUAACUUGAAUUAGGAUGUGACUAUUUGAUUUAUUUAUGUAUGUUGCUACUUCUGUAACAAAGUUUCUAAAUAACACAAUAUGAAAUGGCUUCCUUGAAACUCAUUUUUGAAUAAACAAAUUGUUGGGUCUCA
This is a long non-coding RNA of Hordeum vulgare subsp. vulgare (domesticated barley), 4320 nucleotides long. RefSeq lists it as uncharacterized. The record is from RefSeq and is a predicted model, not a curated record. The transcript is spliced from 3 exons. Lineage: Eukaryota; Viridiplantae; Streptophyta; Magnoliopsida; Poales; Poaceae.